RNAcentral lists this ribosomal RNA (375 nucleotides) under uncultured bacterium. RNAcentral describes it as "bacterial SSU rRNA". It matches the Rfam family "Bacterial small subunit ribosomal RNA", at positions 524 to 898 of the family's 1533-position model. The record is from RNAcentral.
AACGUAGGGUGCAAGCGUUGUCCGGAAUUACUGGGUGUAAAGGGAGCGCAGGCGGACCGGCAAGUUGGAAGUGAAAACUAUGGGCUCAACCCAUAAAUUGCUUUCAAAACUGCUGGCCUUGAGUAGUGCAGAGGUAGGUGGAAUUCCCGGUGUAGCGGUGGAAUGCGUAGAUAUCGGGAGGAACACCAGUGGCGAAGGCGACCUACUGGGCACCAACUGACGCUGAGGCUCGAAAGCAUGGGUAGCAAACAGGAUUAGAUACCCUGGUAGUCCAUGCCGUAAACGAUGAUUACUAGGUGUUGGAGUAUUGACCCCUUCAGUGCCGCAGUUAACACAAUAAGUAAUCCACCUGGGGAGUACGACCGCAAGGUUGAA